Molecule: ribosomal RNA, 315 nt
Filed under: Triticum aestivum (bread wheat)
Lineage: Eukaryota; Viridiplantae; Streptophyta; Magnoliopsida; Poales; Poaceae
Description: partial small subunit ribosomal RNA
Source: RNAcentral
AUGCUGCGAAACGAUGAGGAUGCCAAAUUCUGGGUAGAUAACUGGCUGCCUGGUGGGAGAUCGAUUGCCACCACCGCACCGGCACUAUACUCCUAUGUCAAGGACAUGGACAGUUCUGUAAGAGAGGCAUUGCUAAACAACGCCUGGAUCCGUGAUAUCCAAGGAGGCAUCUCCUCGCGAGCCUUGGCCUAACACCUAGUGGUGUGGGACGUCGUACAGGGUAUGGUUCUCCUACAUGGCAGUAGGAACUGCCCAAGAUGGAGGCUGACACAGAGUGGUGUUUUCUUUGUUAGCCCGGUACACAGGAUUUUUUGA